RNAcentral lists this unclassified non-coding RNA (200 nucleotides) under soil metagenome. Its description in RNAcentral is "partial contains internal transcribed spacer 2 and large subunit ribosomal RNA". The record is from RNAcentral.
GAGCGUCAUUAUCACCCCUCAAGCUCAGCUUGGUGUUGGGGCCUGCCCGUCACAGGGCAGCCCCUAAAAGCAGUGGCGGUGCCAUCUGGCUCUAAGCGUAGUAAUACUCCUCGCUAUAGACGUUAGGUGGUGUCCUGCCAGAACCCCCCAUAUUUUUAAUGAUUGACCUCGGAUCAGGUAGGGAUACCCGCUGAACUUAA